Molecule: ribosomal RNA, 497 nt
Filed under: uncultured bacterium
Lineage: Bacteria
Description: partial 16S ribosomal RNA
Rfam family: Bacterial small subunit ribosomal RNA
Source: RNAcentral
GAUGAACGCUGGCGGCGUGCCUAAUACAUGCAAGUCGAGCGAACAGACGAGGAGCUUGCUCCUCUGACGUUAGCGGCGGACGGGUGAGUAACACGUGGAUAACCUACCUAUAAGACUGGGAUAACUUCGGGAAACCGGAGCUAAUACCGGAUAAUAUAUUGAACCGCAUGGUUCAAUAGUGAAAGACGGUUUUGCUGUCACUUAUAGAUGGAUCCGCGCUGCAUUAGGUAGUUGGUAAGGUAACGGCUUACCAGGGCAACGAUGCGUAGCCGACCUGAGAGAGUGAUCGGCCACACUGGAACUGAAACACGGUCCAGACUCCUACGGGAGGCAGCAGUAGGGAAUCUUCCGCAAUGGGCGAAAGCCUGACGGAGCAACGCCGCGUGAGUGAUGAAGGUCUUCGGAUCGUAAAACUCUGUUAUUAGGGAAGAACAAAUGUGUAAGUAACUAUGCACGUCUUGACGGUACCUAAUCAGAAAGCCACGGCUAACUACGUG